This 600-nucleotide ribosomal RNA is filed under the name Triticum aestivum (bread wheat). RNAcentral's name for it is "partial small subunit ribosomal RNA". Lineage: Eukaryota; Viridiplantae; Streptophyta; Magnoliopsida; Poales; Poaceae. The record is from RNAcentral.
AUGUGUGCACGAUAUCAAGCGGCCCCUAAAGAAUGUUAUCUUAAGGCCGUGAAAAGGAUUGUGAGAUACUUAAUUCAUACACCAAACUUUGGCAUUUGGUAUCCAAAGAGGGCCUCCUUCAAUCUUGUUGGCUACUCCGACUUGGACUAUGCCGGUGACAAGGUUGAUAGAAAGUCCACUUCGGGUACUUGUCAAUUUCUUGGUAGAUCUCUUGUGUCUUGGUCCUCCAAGAAACAAAACUCGAUAUCCUUAUCCACCGCCGAAGCGGAAUACAUUGCCGCUGGUUCAUGUUUUGCUCAAUUACUUUGGAUGACCCAAACUCUUAAAGAUUAUGGGAUAUAUGUGAAACAUGUUCCUUUGCUUUGUGACAAUGAAAGUGCUAUUAAGAUUGCUCACAAUCAUGUGCAACACUCUCGAACUAAGCACAUUGAAGUUCGUCAUCAUUUCAUUCGAGAUCAUGUUGCUAAGGGUGAUAUUAACCUUAAGCAUGUUCGCACCAACAAGCAAUUGGCAGAUAUAUUCACUAAACCACUUGAUGAGAAAGUGUUUUGCGGGUUGAGAGGUGAAUUGAACAUCAUUGAUGCCUCAAACUUGGAGUAG